This 240-nucleotide unclassified non-coding RNA is filed under the name soil metagenome. Its description in RNAcentral is "partial contains 5.8S ribosomal RNA, internal transcribed spacer 2, and large subunit ribosomal RNA". The record is from RNAcentral.
AACAUCGCGCACCUGCGGGAACCUGCGGAGGGAUCAUUAAUUGGACAGAGAGGUUGCCCUGGCGCGCCGGUUCCCGGCGCCUGGGGUGGUCUUGCUGCGCCCACCCACAUCCGUGUCUUUGGUGGAUUGUCUGUUUCCUCGGCGAGCUCGCUCGCCAAUGGGGACCAACACAAACACUUUGUAGUUGUAGUUGUACUGUCAGUAAACAAACCUAUUAAAACUUUCAGCAAUGGAUCUCAG